Molecule: ribosomal RNA, 254 nt
Filed under: uncultured bacterium
Lineage: Bacteria
Description: partial 16S ribosomal RNA
Rfam family: Bacterial small subunit ribosomal RNA
Source: RNAcentral
UACGUAGGCAGCGAGCGUUGUUCGGAGUUACUGGGCGUAAAGGGUGUGUAGGCGGUUGUUUAAGUUUGGUGUGAAAUCUCCCGGCUCAACUGGGAGGGUGCGCCGAAUACUGAAUGACUUCGAGUGCGGGAGAGGAGAGUGGAAUUCCUGGUGUAGCGGUGAAAUGCGCAGAUAUCGGGAAGAACACCUAUGGCGAAGACAGCUCUCUGGGACGGUACUGGCGCUGAGACGCGAAAGCGUGGGGAGCGAACAGG